Molecule: long non-coding RNA, 822 nt
Filed under: Homo sapiens (human)
Lineage: Eukaryota; Metazoa; Chordata; Mammalia; Primates; Hominidae
Description: non-protein coding lnc-STOX2-5:1
Source: RNAcentral
AUGAUGAGUGAAAAAUUGAGCAGCGGGAAGCUAAGGAAAGAAACCUGUAGCCAAGAAGGCUCAUGCCAGUGGCAAGAUUAAGAAGGGUAAUCUCAAACCCAAAGAGCCCAGGAUGGGGAAGCCCCUCUGUAGCAGAAACCCUGUCCCAUCAGGGGUAUGGGCAGAUAUUCCUGACCUGCUUGUAGUCCAGAAAAGCCAUGUACAAGAGGAAGCAUUCAGCCGCUAAAUCCAGAUUUGGAAAAAAAAAAAAAAUGGUUCUUGCUACUGUCACAAAACCAGCAGAGGAUGAUAAGAAUGGAGGUGCCUGGAUGGUAAAACUUCCGGAAAUGCCUACCUAUGUGCCUACUCAAGAUGCGCCUUGGAAUCAUGGAGCCCUGGCAAACAAAACAAAACCCUUCAGUCAGAACGUGGGAAGGCUGCAGGCAGCCUCACUCCCCCGGGACUGCUCCCAUCAUCCUCACUGGGCGCCACGGAGUCCAGAGGGUGGUUUUCCUGAGCUGAGCAGUAAUUAGACCUCUGCUUCUCAACUGAGUUCCUCUGUGUGGAACAUACUGGAAAUGUGUCAUCAGCACCUCCAUCAAAGUUGCGAUGAGCAGUGUGAAAAUCCCCCACAUCUGGCUGCUGCACACGCACAGACACCAGGAAGGUGAGCACUUCCACACAGAGAAGGAAAUGCGGCUUACACAGCAGUGCGAGACAGAUCAGAAAGCUGUGGACUCACAAAUGCUGCCCCGAACCAAAGCUGUCCCUCAGCUCUAGGGCUACCUUCAUUCUGUGUUCUCACUCACAAACGCAAUGUGUCCUGACCAACUGCGGUUCUCA